ACGGAAGGCAGCAGUGAGGAAUAUUGGUCAAUGGGCGAGAGCCUGAACCAGCCAAGUCGCGUGAAGGAUGAAGGUUCUAUGGAUUGUAAACUUCUUUUGUUCGAGGGUAAAGUGAGUCACGUGUGAUUUAUUGCAAGUAUCGAACGAAUAAGCAUCGGCUAACUCCGUGCCAGCAGCCGCGGUAAUACGGAGGAUGCGAGCGUUAUCCGGAUUUAUUGGGUUUAAAGGGUGCGUAGGCGGGAUGUUAAGUCAGCGGUUAAAUAGUGUAGCUCAACUAUACUUUGCCGUUGAAACUGGCGUUCUUGAGUGUAAACGAGGUAGGCGGAAUGUGACGUGUAGCGGUGAAAUGCUUAGAUAUGUCACAGAACCCCGAUUGCGAAGGCAGCUUACCAGGCCGGCAAUGACGCUCAUGCACGAAAGUGCGGGGAUCGAACAGGAUUAGAUACCCUGGUA
Molecule: ribosomal RNA, 453 nt
Filed under: uncultured Porphyromonadaceae bacterium
Lineage: Bacteria; Pseudomonadati; Bacteroidota; Bacteroidia; Bacteroidales; Porphyromonadaceae
Description: partial 16S ribosomal RNA
Rfam family: Bacterial small subunit ribosomal RNA
Source: RNAcentral